Molecule: ribosomal RNA, 921 nt
Filed under: Salmonella enterica subsp. enterica
Lineage: Bacteria; Pseudomonadati; Pseudomonadota; Gammaproteobacteria; Enterobacterales; Enterobacteriaceae
Description: partial 23S ribosomal RNA
Rfam family: Bacterial large subunit ribosomal RNA
Source: RNAcentral
GAGAUUCCCCCAGUAGCGGCGAGCGAACGGGGAGGAGCCCAGAGCCUGAAUCAGCAUGUGUGUUAGUGGAAGCGUCUGGAAAGGCGCGCGAUACAGGGUGACAGCCCCGUACACAAAAGCGCAUGUGCUGUGAGCUCGAUGAGUAGGGCGGGACACGUGGUAUCCUGUCUGAAUAUGGGGGGACCAUCCUCCAAGGCUAAAUACUCCUGACUGACCGAUAGUGAACCAGUACCGUGAGGGAAAGGCGAAAAGAACCCCGGCGAGGGGAGUGAAAAAGAACCUGAAACCGUGUACGUACAAGCAGUGGGAGCACAGGUUUACCUGUGUGACUGCGUACCUUUUGUAUAAUGGGUCAGCGACUUAUAUUCUGUAGCAAGGUUAACCGAAUAGGGGAGCCGGAGGGAAACCGAGUCUUAAUUGGGCGUUAAGUUGCAGGGUAUAGACCCGAAACCCGGUGAUCUAGCCAUGGGCAGGUUGAAGGUUGGGUAACACUAACUGGAGGACCGAACCGACUAAUGUUGAAAAAUUAGCGGAUGACCUGUGGCUGGGGGUGAAAGGCCAAUCAAACCGGGAGAUAGCUGGUUCUCCCCGAAAGCUAUUUAGGUAGCGCCUCGUGAAUUCAUCUCCGGGGGUAGAGCACUGUUUCGGCUAGGGGGCCAUCCCGGCUUACCAACCCGAUGCAAACUGCGAAUACCGGAGAAUGUUAUCACGGGAGACACACGGCGGGUGCUAACGUCCGUCGUGAAGAGGGAAACAACCCAGACCGCCAGCUAAGGUCCCAAAGUCAUGGUUAAGUGGGAAACGAUGUGGGAAGGCCCAGACAGCCAGGAUGUUGGCUUAGAAGCAGCCAUCAUUUAAAGAAAGCGUAAUAGCUCACUGGUCGAGUCGGCCUGCGCGGAAGAUGUAACGGGGCUAAACCAU